UCGAUGGCUUUACUGUCUCUUACUUCCAAUCUASGUGAMAUUGACCUUCCCGUGAAGAGGCGGGAAUAUGACAAUAAGACGAGAAGACCCUAUGGAGCUUUAAUUAACCGACCCAAAGAGAUCUUGAUAAUCAACCGACAGGGAUAACAUACCUCUACCAUGGGCCGACAAUUUAGGUUGGGGUGACCUCGGAGAAUAAAACAACCUCCGAGUGAUUUAAAUCUAGACUAACUAGUCGAAAGUACUACAUCACUUAUUGAUCCAAAAACUUGAUCAACGGAACAAGUUACCCUAGGGAUAACAGCGCAAUYCURUUUUAGAGUCCAUAUCGACAAUAGGAU
This 341-nucleotide ribosomal RNA is filed under the name Panthera onca (jaguar). Its description in RNAcentral is "partial 16S ribosomal RNA". It matches the Rfam family "Bacterial large subunit ribosomal RNA", at positions 2004 to 2517 of the family's 2925-position model. The record is from RNAcentral. Lineage: Eukaryota; Metazoa; Chordata; Mammalia; Carnivora; Felidae.